UAACAAAGGAAAAAGAAAAGAAAAGAAAAAUGCAGCCGUGAAUAAAGUCAUUUGAAGUAUGUUUAAGCUUCUUGGUAAAAAGGAAAUAUAAUGAGAAUUUAUAGAUCAAAGGAGCCGCUGGUGAUCUCCAUCAUAUAUUUAUUGUAAUUUAUAGCUCAUCGGUACUAAGGCACUAGCAUACAGAGUACAUUGUAGUAAAAAACAAGACUAGUAGUUAAGGAACAAGGAUGGUGUCACUGGUGAUGGUUGGUGUUCAUACGGAGAGAGGCGCAGAAAGGGCAAACUGAAGACUCCAAAGCUCGAAAGUUCCUUUAAUGAAAUCGUAGUAACCACCCUUCAGUGCCAGAGUUUUGUUCACCAAGCCAGUUCUCACAAAUGGAUAACUUAGCAGGUUUCCAAGGGAUACAUUCACUGCUUCCUGAAAUCAUGAUGCACCAUUUUUGGUUAGAAAACUUGUGGAUCAUCCCCUAUAAACUUACAUGCACGACUCAAAUUCAAGUGGAAGGAACUGCCAUGUUAUUAUUAUUACUAAAAAGGGUUUUGUUUCAUAAUCUCUUCUGAUUGCAAUUAACUUUGACAUGGUUUUCUUCUACUAGAUGUUGUGACCUCCUGGAGUUUUAACAGGCAAUAUGCAGUCAACAAUCAUUCCAAAGGGAAAGUGUAAAAGGUAAGAGGUAACACAGCAAAGAAGUUGAGAAAGGUGUCAACC
This 709-nucleotide long non-coding RNA is filed under the name Theobroma cacao (cacao). RNAcentral's name for it is "long non-coding RNA (TCAC_LNC002234)". Lineage: Eukaryota; Viridiplantae; Streptophyta; Magnoliopsida; Malvales; Malvaceae. The record is from RNAcentral.